GACGAACGCUGGCGGCGUGCUUAACACAUGCAAGUCGAACGAAGAGCGACGGAAGCUUGCUUCUAUCAAUCUUAGUGGCGAACGGGUGAGUAACGCGUAAUCAACCUGCCCUUCAGAGGGGGACAACAGUAGGAAACGACUGCUAAUACCGCAUACGAUCUAACCUCGGCAUCGAGGAUAGAUGAAAGGUGGCCUCUACAUGUAAGCUAUCACUGAAGGAGGGGAGUGCGUCUGAUUAGCUAGGUGGCGGGGUAAGGGCCCACCAAGGCGAGGAUGAGUAGCCGGUCUGAGAGGAUGGACGGCCACAUUGGGACUGUGACACGGCACAGACUCCUACGGGAGGCAGCCAGGGGGAAACUGCCGCAAUGGGCGGAAGUCUGACGGAGAAAGGCCGCGGGAGGGAUGACGGCCGUCGGGUUGGAAAGGUCUGUUAAUCGGGACGAAAGGGCUUCUUGCGAAUAGUAAGAAGGAUUGACGGUACCGGAAUAGAAAGCCACGGCUAACUACGUG
RNAcentral lists this ribosomal RNA (510 nucleotides) under uncultured bacterium. RNAcentral's name for it is "partial 16S ribosomal RNA". It matches the Rfam family "Bacterial small subunit ribosomal RNA", at positions 28 to 507 of the family's 1533-position model. The record is from RNAcentral.